RNAcentral lists this ribosomal RNA (483 nucleotides) under uncultured bacterium. RNAcentral's name for it is "partial 16S ribosomal RNA". It matches the Rfam family "Bacterial small subunit ribosomal RNA", at positions 33 to 507 of the family's 1533-position model. The record is from RNAcentral.
AUUCACGCUGGCGGCAGGCCUAACACAUGCAAGUCGAGCGGAUGAAGGGAGCUUGCUCCUGGAUUCAGCGGCGGACGGGUGAGUAAUGCCUAGGAAUCUGCCUGGUAGUGGGGGAUAACGUCCGGAAACGGGCGCUAAUACCGCAUACGUCCUGAGGGAGAAAGUGGGGGAUCUUCGGACCUCACGCUAUCAGAUGAGCCUAGGUCGGAUUAGCUAGUUGGUGGGGUAAAGGCCUACCAAGGCGACGAUCCGUAACUGGUCUGAGAGGAUGAUCAGUCACACUGGAACUGAGACACGGUCCAGACUCCUACGGGAGGCAGCAGUGGGGAAUAUUGGACAAUGGGCGAAAGCCUGAUCCAGCCAUGCCGCGUGUGUGAAGAAGGUCUUCGGAUUGUAAAGCACUUUAAGUUGGGAGGAAGGGCAGUAAGUUAAUACCUUGCUGUUUUGACGUUACCAACAGAAUAAGCACCGGCUAACUUCGUG